RNAcentral lists this unclassified non-coding RNA (619 nucleotides) under uncultured fungus. Its description in RNAcentral is "sequence contains 18S rRNA gene, ITS1, 5.8S rRNA gene, ITS2". The stretch from base 257 to 411 matches the Rfam family "5.8S ribosomal RNA". The record is from RNAcentral. Lineage: Eukaryota; Fungi.
UAGAGGAAGUAAAAGUCGUAACAAGGUUUCCGUAGGUGAACCUGCGGAAGGAUCAUUACUGAAUUGUCAAACGGGUUGUUGCUGGCCCUCAUAGGGGGCAUGUGCACGCUCUGUUUACACAUCCACUCACACCUGUGCACCCUCUGUAGUUCUAUGGUCUGGGGGACCCUGUCUUCCUUCUGUGGUUCUACGUCUUUACACACACACUGUAAUAAAGUUUUAUGGAAUGUACAUCGCGUCUAACGCAAUACAAUACAACUUUCAGCAACGGAUCUCUUGGCUCUCGCAUCGAUGAAGAACGCAGCGAAAUGCGAUAAGUAAUGUGAAUUGCAGAAUUCAGUGAAUCAUCGAAUCUUUGAACGCACCUUGCGCCCCUUGGCUAUUCCGAGGGGCAUGCCUGUUUGAGUAUCAUGAACACCUCAACUCUCAUGGUUUGCCAUGAUGAGUUGGACUCUGGGGGUUUUGCUGGCCUGUGGUCGGCUCCUCUCAAAUUAAUCAGCCUCCCAGUGUUUGGUGGCAUCACGGGUGUGAUAAAUAUCUACGCUCGCUGUUGUCUGCCAGGUAACCUUUGGUCACAAAGGUUUGCUGGAGCUCACAGAUGUCUCUCCUCAGCGAGGAC